GUUUAAGUAACUUAUAAUGUAAAGUGUAGCACUGAAGAUGCUAAAAAGAAAUUUAUUUCCUUGAACA
This 67-nucleotide transfer RNA is filed under the name Ctenolepisma villosum. RNAcentral describes it as "Ctenolepisma villosa tRNA-Phe". The record is from RNAcentral. Lineage: Eukaryota; Metazoa; Arthropoda; Insecta; Zygentoma; Lepismatidae.